GACGAACCGAGCGAACGUUGUUCGGAAUCACUGGGCGUAAAGGGCGCGUAGGCGGCCGUUCAAGUCGGGGGUGAAAGCCUGUGGCUCAACCACAGAAUGGCCUUCGAUACUGGACGGCUCGAGACCGGAAGAGGUCAGUGGAACUGCGAGUGUAGAGGUGAAAUUCGUAGAUAUUCGCAAGAACACCAGUGGCGAAGGCGGCUGACUGGUCCGGUUCUGACGCUGAGGCGCGAAAGCGUGGGGAGCAAACAGG
This 253-nucleotide ribosomal RNA is filed under the name uncultured bacterium. Its description in RNAcentral is "partial 16S ribosomal RNA". It matches the Rfam family "Bacterial small subunit ribosomal RNA", at positions 524 to 776 of the family's 1533-position model. The record is from RNAcentral.